UUAAGCAAAAAAGAGCGCAGGGUGGAUGCCUUGGCACUAAGAGCCGAAGAAAGACGUGAUAAGCUGCGAAAAGCUGCGGGGAGAUGCAAAUAAUCCUUGAUCCGCAGAUGUCUGAAUGGGGAAACCCGGUACGAAGAACUCGUAUCAUCCAUACGCCAAUCCAUAACGUAUGGAGGGGAACCCGGUGAACUGAAACAUCUAAGUAGCCGGAGGAAGAGAAAGAAACAUCGAUUUCCUUAGUAGCGGCGAGCGAAAGGGAAAGAGCCCAAACCGAGGGUCUACGGACGUUCGGGGUUCGGACUUGCAAAAAUCGAAGUACUUAUAGACGAAGAGGUUUGGAACUUCCUACCAAAGAGGGUAACAGUCCCGUAGUCGAAAUGAGUACAAGAGGGCGAGAAUCCAGAGUACCACAGGACACGAGUAAUCCGGUGGGAAGACGGGGGGCCCACCCCCCAAGGCUAAAUACUACUUGGUGACCGAUAGCGUAUAGUACCGUGAGGGAAAGGUGAAAAGAACCCCGGGAGGGGAGUGAAAGAGUACCUGAAACCCUAUGUUUACAAGCAGUGGGAGCGAGAGCGACCAUGUACUUUUUGUAGAACGGGCCGGCGAGUUACUGUGUGCAGCGAGGUUAAGUUGUUAAGCAACGGAGCCGAAGGGAUACCGAGUCUGAAAAGGGCGUAAAGUUGCAUGCAGUACACCCGAAACCGGGUGACCUAUCCAUGGACAGGAUGAAGCGACGGUAAGACGUCGUGGAGGUCCGAACCACACGUACGUGAAAAGUGCGGGGAUGAGCUGUGGAUAGCGGAGAAAUUCCAAUCGAACUCGGAGAUAGCUGGUUCUCCCCGAAAUAGCUUUAGGGCUAGCCUCGAUUUAGAUUACCGGGGGUAGAGCACUGAAUGGGCUAGGGGGCCACAAAGCUUACCGAACCCUAUCAAACUUCGAAUACCGGAUAAUUGAUGAUCGGGAGUCAGACAGUGUGAGAUAAGUUUCAUUGUCGAAAGGGAAACAGCCCAGAUCUACGACUAAGGUCCCAAAGUUCAAGUUAAGUGGAAAAGGAUGUGCAAUUGCGUAGACAACCAGGAUGUUGGCUUAGUAGCAGCCAUUCAUUCAAAGAGUGCGUAAUAGCUCACUGGUCGAGUGAUUGUGCGCCGAAAAUGUAACGGGGCUAAACUUGACACCGAAGUCUAGGCAGAAGGAAACUUCUGGGUAGGGGAGCAACGUGUACGGGCAGAAGCAGAAGCGGAAGCGACUGUGGACUGUACAGGAGAGAGAAUGCCGGCAUGAGUAGCGAGAGCAAAGUGAGAAUCUUUGCCGUCGAAAGCCUAAGGUUUCCUGAGGAAGGCUCGUCCUCUCAGGGUAAGUCGGGACCUAAGCCGAGGACAAUAGUCGUAGGCGAUGGACAAUCGGUUAAUAUUCCGAUACCGCCGAGCAACCGGAUGCAGUGACACAGAAGGAUAGGCAGAGCGUGGCGAUGGUAGACCACGUCCAAGCAGUGAGGCUGUUGUGUAGUGAAGUACGCACAACGAAAGGCUGGGCUGUGAUGGGGAACGAUUACGAUCGGUAAGCUGCUGAAUUCACGCUGGCGAGAAAAGCUGCUACGAAGCGAAGGCGCCCGUACCGCAAACCGACACAGGUAGGCGAGGAGAGAAUCCUAAGACGAGCGGGAGAACCCUUGUUAAGGAACUCGGCAAAAUGACUCCGUAACUUAGGGAGAAGGAGUGCCCAGGAAUGGGCCGCAGAGAAUAGACCCAAGCGACUGUUUACCAAAAACACAGGUCUGUGCGAAGUAGAGAUACGACGUAUACGGGCUGACACCUGCCCAGUGCCGGAAGGUUAAGGGGAAAUGUUAGGGCAACCGAAGCAUGGAACUUAAGCCCCGGUGAACGGCGGCCGUAACUAUAACGGUCCUAAGGUAGCGAAAUUCCUUGUCGGGUAAG
Molecule: ribosomal RNA, 1937 nt
Filed under: human gut metagenome
Description: bacterial LSU rRNA
Rfam family: Bacterial large subunit ribosomal RNA
Source: RNAcentral